AACGAACGCUGGCGGCAUGCCUAACACAUGCAAGUCGAACGAGACCUUCGGGUCUAGUGGCGCACGGGUGCGUAACGCGUGGGAAUCUACCCAAAGGUACGGAAUAACUCUCCGAAAGGAGUGCUAAUACCGUAUGAUGUCGCAAGACCAAAGAUUUAUCGCCUUUGGAUGAGCCCGCGUAGGAUUAGCUUGUUGGUGAGGUAAAGGCUCACCAAGGCGACGAUCCUUAGCUGGUCUGAGAGGAUGAUCAGCCACACUGGGACUGGGACACGGCCCAGACCCCUACGGGAGGCAGCAGUGGGGAAUAUUGGACAAUGGGCGAAAGCCUGAUCCAGCAAUGCCGCGUGAGUGAUGAAGGCCUUAGGGUUGUAAAGCUCUUUUACCCGGGAAGAUAAUGACUGUACCGGGAGAAUAAGCCCCGGCUAACUCCGUGCCAGCAGCCGCAGUAA
RNAcentral lists this ribosomal RNA (449 nucleotides) under uncultured bacterium. Its description in RNAcentral is "partial 16S ribosomal RNA". It matches the Rfam family "Bacterial small subunit ribosomal RNA", at positions 29 to 523 of the family's 1533-position model. The record is from RNAcentral.